Long non-coding RNA from Drosophila mojavensis, 469 nucleotides. RefSeq lists it as uncharacterized. NCBI's taxonomy places the organism in Eukaryota, Metazoa, Arthropoda, Insecta, Diptera, Drosophilidae. The transcript has 2 exons. The record is from RefSeq and is a predicted model, not a curated record.
GUCAGACACGAGCACACCCUUCUGUAAUUCAAAAUCAGUAUACCCUCUAUGCACACUUUCGAUGGGCAUUAAAACCGGCAGCAUUAACAACAAAAACCACCGUGAUUCAAGGGAAAAACACCGUCAGAAUUGAGUUCAGAACUAGUGCGAAGUAUAAAUUUGAGUUUACUUUCGACCCAAAACAGGCUACAUUUGCCUUUAGUUGACUUUACCGACUGCGUGAUGUUCGCUCGCUGGCUGCUGAGAUUUAUAUGAGUUGAAUUACGUCUAACCGAGAGACUAUUUUAAAUUAAUAAUGCUACUGAGGCAUAAGGUCGGAGCGCGAAAAGCAAAUACAAACAAUUUAUAAAAAAUACCAAAAUAAUUAGCAACUUUUAGAUGGAAUAGAAGCAGCAUGAAAUUUCAACUACACUGAGCAAAAUUAUUACCAAAAUAAAUUAAGAAAAUAUUUCUUUCUCUCUCACUUCCA